This 6535-nucleotide unclassified non-coding RNA is filed under the name Homarus americanus (American lobster). Its description in RNAcentral is "zinc finger protein 217-like, transcript variant X1". Lineage: Eukaryota; Metazoa; Arthropoda; Malacostraca; Decapoda; Nephropidae. The record is from RNAcentral.
UAUUACAGGGGGUACUGUCUUUGUGUUUCUUCCCUCCUCUUCCCCCUCUCUCUCUUUUUUUUUAUAGUGUGGAGAAGUGGCCUUGAGCUUGAGAACCGUUCAUCUUUUAUUUUUCCAAUGUAAACAAGGAAAGUGGUAUAUGUGGGGUACUACUGUACUUUGUUGAGAUGGCCACACUCAUGGUUGUGGAGAAUGUAUAUACUGUGUGAGGUGUUGGCUGUGUGUGCCAUUAAUGAUAACCAUUUGUUAUGUUUUGCUUGCAGGAGUGUUACCUCCCGCUAGUCAGGCAGGGUGGAGAGGGGGCCACACAGAAUCCAGUGACACCUCAGCUCAAGGCGGCAGUACCAUGUCGGCUCUGGAGAGUCUCGUCGGCUCAUUAGGUGGAUCCGCCGACGAGAAUGAUGGGGACAUGCUCGGGUCUGGAAUAGUGACCAGCGGAACGACGUGCUACAACAACACGAUAUCUGAUGACCCCUUGGCCACCCACGACUCAGUCAAGUGAUGUGGGAAUGAUGCAGUGAAGGAACACAUCCAAGAGGUGCGACAGAUCCCACACAUCGCCUCUCAUUCCAUUUGUCGGAUGUUCAACUUACCAUGACAGGAGGUGGACUAGGGGGGAUGGGCUCCUCCACUUCCCCGUACACACAACCUUCCAGACAACGGUGCAACUGUCCUUCUUGUGGACGCAUGCUCAGUCAGAGAAGGAACUUAAAACAACACUUAAUCACCACACACAAGAUGUCGCCUGAUGAAGCCACUGUUAUUGUGAAACGCUACAACUUUGAGCUUCUUGUUGAAGAGCCUAUAAUUCAGCCACUUCCACAGCCACCACUCCCACAUUUGCCACUGCUGCCGUCCCCUCCAUUACCCAUGUCCAUGAUGCCAAGCUUAACUGCAGUAUCGCCCCCAAUUCUUAUGAUGCCACCAAAAAGUCCCCUUUCAUCAUAGCCUCCAGUAAGAUGUGUUAUGUUGUCAAUAAACUCCAUUGCGUUAACCCUUUAUUCCAUUGAAAGGUAAUGAGUUUUGCCCCAUCCUCUUAAAGCCUCAAUAUGUAAUAUUAUUCUCCUCUUUAUUAGCAUUCAUAUUAUGUGUCAGAGUUUGAACCUACAAAGCAUUUUCAUUCCCUGUCUCCCGACUAAAAUAUUGUAGCUUGUUGCCCGACACCAGGUGGUUCUUGCUGCUGUACUGACCAGUUGUGUGUGCUAGACAUCACACCUUGCCCCCCCCCCAUUUGACAAUUAGAAGCUGAUCUGGAAGAUGUUCAUCCUUCCUCAUCACAACCACCACUUUUGAAGAGGCAGAUGAGAAACAAAUGUUGCCUUCUGGAGGUAGGCAAAGAAUGUCAACUUUGAGCUGAGUUACCUAGAUAGUGCUUCACACACUUAUGUGCUGCCAUCUUUGAUUUUAAGAAAAAUUUUCCAUCUUGCUUCAGUCCACAGAGAACAGUCAUACCUGCUUGACUACAAAGCUAAUUAUCUGGCCAAUCUUGUUGAAGGGAGAAGCUUAAGAUUUCCCCUCACCAAGUGUUUAAAUUGUUAACUUUACUGUGGAACUUUAGGAAUAACUAAGCAGAUGAACCUCCUGGGCAAGUUCAUUUCUUUGUAUUAUGAACUGUCUUCAGUGAUCUAUAGGAGAGUAUCAUGUUGGUAGUGCGUGUAGUGUGUAAGUGCAAGUGACAGAGCUGGGUUAUAUUGGCUUGAACCUGGUGUUAUGGAGACUCAACAGUGCCUGAGAGAUGGUGCAGGAAGUGAGAUCCAUAGUAUCUGUACGAGAAUUUAUAUUAAGAUGGAUGUCAUACAGUACAUUGGCUGAACUUGAGUUACAUGAGAGAAAGAUUCAUCUUUUUUCAAUGCUUCCAUGUUAAUCUGAUGGAAUUUUGGGUUUGUCUUCUUCCUUCAGAACUGAGAAGAGUCUCUUGAAGGAGGAGUCCUCUGUAGUUGGGUUAACUCUCCUCGGACACACAUCUUUCCACAACUCUAGCUGGCUGUCAGUAAUGAGCUGCUCAGUGAAAGGACUCAAGCUAGAAAUCGUGUUUCUAGCCGAGUCCAUAACCAAGUGGCUCAGAUAUCUCUCUCUUCUCAAAGGGUUAAUAGUUACCAGUGGUCAGCCAGAACUAUAGCAAGAUCAAAGGUGGCAGCCUGCAAUUUUGGUGUGAGGCAGUAGUUAGUGGGCUGAACUCUUUAUCAGACCUACCUUCAGAGAGCAACAAUUGUGAUGGGGCAGGCACUUGUGAGACCAACGUUCAGAUGUCAAGUGAGGAUCAGGCACAACAUCCAGCCCCCACAGUUGACCAUCACAGUAACAUUAGCCAUUUGGUCAUGGGUUCAACUAGUCUACAGUACACGAUUUCAGUAUCAAUCCUCUCAUUUUGACCACUUAAAGAUUACAUUUUUGUAUUAAAAGUACAAUAUGCGUGAGGUGUUCAUUAGUGCUAGUAAUUUUGCUCUGUGACUUGUGAGCUGCAUCAGUCUGUAGUUUUUUACUUUGUAUGAAAAUUAUACAGAUUCUAGGAGUGCAGCUUCAGUGUUUUAUAAGAUAUUUCAUUAGAUUCAGAAAAAAUACAUUUGAUGCAAGGUUGCACUCAGUCUUUCAGGAAUUUAAAUGAAAUAAUGACAAUAAACUCGUGUUUCUUGCUUCUCAGAUGUUCUCCUGGGGAAGCAAAGUUGUGUAUUUGUGGUGCUUGAUAAUAAGUGAUAACAUGUGCAGCAGAUGUUGUUGCCUCCAGUGAAACUAAAGAAUCUCAGCUCUCUUAAAUGUUCUUAAUUUCUUCACUUAAUUUGGCAUAUCUCAAUUAUAUAAUUUUUAAUAUUUGAUUUGUAACUUUCUGAUUGAAAAUUUUAAUGUAGUUUGUCAUUAGUAAUUAUAAGGUAAUAUAUUUUAAUGUUUUGUAAUGAAAAACAUAACUACUAUUUGGGCAGUGGAUUUUUCAGAUAUUACCACACUGUUUGAAAAUAGUGUACUGUACAGCCUAAAGUGUUCACCACAAGUACAAUUAGCCUGUGCUAUGGAAGACAUUGUAAAUUCACACAUUAAGUCGACGUGGUCGCUCUUCUUGUUGAGGUUACAUGCCAGAACCACUAGUUAUAAGUAAACUGCUGUUGAUUUACAGAUUUAAACUUACAGUCAAGGUUUGCUCAUGCAAGAGCUGCUGAGGGUUAGUGCUGGACAUCUUCAGAAUUUCAUUGUUUUCCAUAGUACCAUGCAUGUAGUAUUAAGGAUCUCCUCCAGUAUCUGCCUCCAUUUGCUCAUAGUGUAAAAAAAAAUUUGUGAUAAUUUGUCCAUUUUUUAUAAGACAGACAUAUAGACGUCAUCAAAGAUGAUCAAUCAUAGUGUUAAACAUUUGUUCCUUGCACAUGAAAGGAAAAACUUGUCAUUGAUGAUAAUGUCACUCACCCUUUUUCAGAUGUACCACUUUUUCCCAAUUGGAUGACCCAAAAUUCCCUUACUGUAUUUAGUUGUUAAACUAUGACUUUCUAUACAGUAGUGACAUAGUUAUUAUGGUUAGGUGUGAUGUAACUUUAAAAGUUACACACACAAACAGUUUUUUUGUAUGUGGAUGAGAGGACAGUGAUGGACAUUGAAAACUGAUUUACUGGAUGGUGGGAGGGGUUGUGUAGGAGGAAGUGCUACUUUCUGGAGACCCAUCUCUUGACUUCUUUUGUACUGUACACCUGUGGCAGGGUAGGAAGAUCACCCCACCAAGUCCUGUACAGUGUAGCUAAAGGAUGUGCAGUGAUCAGUGUGAGACGUAGGAAGCAGGAGUGGAGAACUUUGUUGAAGUUGGCAAGCUUACCGCCCCAAGUGAUUCAAAAUCUUCUUGUCUCCUGCCUGUCCAUAUAUGCAUUGUGUAAGGUAUGGACAAGUGACUAAACUAAUAAUUGAGUAUGAUUCAGUGAAUGAUUCCUCUAGUUGUAAACCUGAAGUUUUGAUGAUACUCUCAUACAUAUGUUUUCUUCCACACUGAUGGUCAGUAGAUGGUACUUGCUGCAACCAGCUAAAAAAAAUAAUAAUAAAAAAUUGAAAACUGCUGUAGCUGCUGUACAUUGGUGGGUCAGUCAUGGAUAUUACCACAUUACUUCAAUGUUAUGUUGGCUCAUGGAACAUGUGUUCAAAUAGGAGGUGUAGGGUGGCUCCUCUACAGUACUGACUGGAGCUACUCUGUUGAAGUAGGUGUAGGGUGGCUCCUCUACAGUACUGACUGGAGCUACUCUGUUGAAGCAGGAGGUGUAGGGUGGCUCCUCUACAGUCCAAUACUGGCUGGAGUUUACAGUGUUCAAGUAGGAGAUGUAGGGUGGCUCCUCUACAGUACUGGCUGGAGCUACAGUUACAAAGUUUGAUGAGAAUGUCUCGGGCAUUUAUUUUAGAUUGUGAUUUAUCAGAAUUUCCUUGAUUUUUUUAGGGAAGGUCACAGUGCUUGGAUUCUCUUGUUGCAAAUUCUGAUUUUUGGUGCUGCAUUUUUGGAACAUUAUUUGCUCCUGUUUGUGAUAUUUGUAUACGUAGCAUUUGAUUAAGUAUUAUGAGGUAUGAUAAGUAUCAUUACUUCCUGAAGGAGGUAGCUGAAAGUACACUGAGCCCUCACUAAUUCGAUAUUCACACAUUGGCUUAUUUUGGUUAAUUUGAUCGAGCAAGAACCCCGACGAUGCCGAAUUAGUGAGGGUUCAGCGUAUCCUUAUUGCCUUUCCCUUUUAUACGAGUCCUCUUCUACUUAAUGUCUAAGGGUUUUAUGUCUUGUAAAAACUUUAGAAGAAAAACCAAACAGCUACUUAGUUAGUUUUGUAAGUUGAUGAUUUUAUUUAAAGGUUUUAAUUCUGUUGCCAAUUAAUGAAAACCAAGGAAAAUAAUAGAAGCAUAUGAAGUACAGUAAAGGCUUUAAUAUGUAGGUAGUGCUGGAUAUGACGAUGUAUUGUAGUACUGUAGUUAUGAAAGUCCAGGUGAAAAUCUAGUAUUGUACUGUAGUAUGCAUUUCUGUCGGUCAUUAGUGAAAGUUCCAAAUACUAGAGAUGUCCGGUUAGUGAGAUACCAUAUAAGAAAGCUUUUACUGCACUUGUUUUAUUAUAUAACUUAUAAAAUAAAGACUAUAAGUAAUUUGACUUCUUUGUGAAAAUGUUCCAAGGAGCUGCUUUAUAUUAUGUAACCAUGAGAGAAAUAGAGAGAAUUAUUGAGUUGGUUCAGAGGUCCUGGUAAUUUAGUUAUGAAUACUGUACUGUACUGUAUAUGGCCAUUGAAGAGGAGAAUAUAAUAUUUAAGUAACAUGAAACCAAAUUGCAGUAUGGGAGGAAAUUCAAGUUUUAUUUUGAGUUACCAUUUUCAGAAGAGCGUGGCGGUUGAGCGGAUACAGUGCUCGCCUCUUGUUCCAGGGUUGGUGAUUUGAUUCUUGGGCACUCCCAGUUCACCCAGCUGUAAAUGGGUACUGUACCUAAGUUUACAACUUGGGGAAGUGACUGUGGUCGAGUGCAGUACUGGCAAUGCUGCCUUCUCCUGUACCAAAGGAAUAGUAUACAGUGUGCUAUAUCCAUACUCCCUAACGGGCAGUCAUGCCUAUGGGACCCACUUUCACUUUCACCAUUUUAAACGUCCCAUAAUAAUAAUAAAUUGAGUUUAAUGGUAUUUUGAAGAUAAAUUUUGUCGGUCGUGACUUUAAAAAAAUGAUAGAAUUAAUCCUAAAAUUUUAUAAUCUGCCACACAUCUGAGGGCAGGAGUAUCAGAUUUUUUGGAUCACCGGAAAAUUAGAAACCUUAGCUUUUAUCACCUGAAGGUUAACCACCAUAGUGCUGACCUAACCUAGCCAACCUAAACCAACCCAACCUAACCUAUCCUGGUCUGACCUACUCUAACCUAACUUAACCUAUCUACCCUAAUCUUACCUUCGUAGGUAGCAUUAGGGUAGUUAAUCUUUAGAUGAAAUAAGCUUGGGUGUUAAAGCUUCAAGCAUAUUAAGCUGAGGUGUCAAAUAUUAGUCAAAUUAAGCAGGGGUGUCUAAUCUUCAGGUAUCCAACUUUUAUUUAAAAGGUCGGCAAUCAUUAAUUUAUUCAGCAGUUCUUGGCGGAUGUACAAGCCAGCGCUGAGUUUGUUAUGACGUUGUGGUACCUAAAGUAACAUUAUUAUUUAUUUAUAUGUGUUUUGUUGUCUCAUAAAGGGAUGGUGUAUAUGGAAUCUUCCUCACACAUUCUCAAUCUUCCUUAUACAUUCUCAUUCUUCCUCAUACAUUCUCAUUCUUCCUCAUACAUUCUGUCUCUUCACAACCACAGACUAUCAACCAUCUUCACACCAUUACUUCACAACAACUGGACGCUGACUCAUAUUUGUUAAUGGUGAGUUAAGUGCUUUUUUGGUGUAGCUAUUAAGAAAUGCAAGACACUUUAUCAUUUCAUUAGCAUAAGACUGUGAAAACUUUGUCGAUUGGUAGAAAAUGAAAAUAGAGAGGCUGAGGAAUACAGCUCCUCCCCGACAUACGACUUACGACCACCCGCACUUACGACCUGCUUCAGUCAUACCAAAAUUUUGUCAAAUUGCUUAUUUUCGAGUCCCAACGUCA